Molecule: ribosomal RNA, 406 nt
Filed under: uncultured bacterium
Lineage: Bacteria
Description: partial 16S ribosomal RNA
Rfam family: Bacterial small subunit ribosomal RNA
Source: RNAcentral
AUUGAACGCUGGCGGCAGGCCUAACACAUGCAAGUCGAACGAGUGGCGGACGGGUGAGUAAUGUCUGGGAAACUGCCUGAUGGAGGGGGAUAACUACUGGAAACGGUAGCUAAUACCGCAUACCAUCGGAUGUGCCCAGAUGGGAUUAGCUAGUAGGUGGGGUAAAGGCUCACCUAGGCGACGAUCCCUAGCUGGUCGGAGAGGAUGACCAGCGACACUGGAACUGUUCCGCGGUCCAGACUCCGACGGGAGGCAGCGGUGGGGAAAAGUGCGCAGUGGGCGCAAGCCUGAUGCAGCCAUGCCGAGUGUAUGAAGAAGGCCUUCGGGUUGUAAAGUACGUUCAGCGGGGAGGCGUUACCCGCAGAAGAAGCACCGGCUAACUCCGUGCCAGCAGCCGCGGUAAUAC